GGGGCUGGGGCUCAGUGCUAGAGCGCUUGCCUAGCAUGCAUGAGGCAAUGGGUUUGAUCCUCAGCACCA
RNAcentral lists this transfer RNA (69 nucleotides) under Marmota monax (woodchuck). It matches the Rfam family "tRNA". From Rfam's summary of the family: Transfer RNA (tRNA) molecules are approximately 80 nucleotides in length. The record is from Rfam by way of RNAcentral. Lineage: Eukaryota; Metazoa; Chordata; Mammalia; Rodentia; Sciuridae.